This 244-nucleotide ribosomal RNA is filed under the name uncultured bacterium. RNAcentral describes it as "partial 16S ribosomal RNA". It matches the Rfam family "Bacterial small subunit ribosomal RNA", at positions 14 to 252 of the family's 1533-position model. The record is from RNAcentral.
GUAUCAUGGCUCAGAUUGAACGCUGGCGGCAGGCUUAACACAUGCAAGUCGAACGGUAACAGGAAGAAAGCUUGCUUUCUUUGCUGACGAGUGGCGGACGGGUGAGUAAUGCUUGGGUAUCUGGCUUAUGGAGGGGGAUAACUACGGGAAACUGUAGCUAAUACCGCGUAGUAUCGGAAGAUGAAAGUGUGGGACCGCAAGGCCACAUGCCAUAGGAUGAGCCCAAGUGGGAUUAGGUAGUUGG